This 404-nucleotide ribosomal RNA is filed under the name uncultured bacterium. Its description in RNAcentral is "bacterial SSU rRNA". It matches the Rfam family "Bacterial small subunit ribosomal RNA", at positions 355 to 776 of the family's 1533-position model. The record is from RNAcentral.
UGGGGGAUAUUGCACAAUGGGGGAAACCCUGAUGCAGCAACGCCGCGUGAGUGAAGAAGUAUUUCGGUAUGUAAAGCUCUAUCAGCAGGGAAGAAAAUGACAGUACCUGACUAAGGAGCCCCGGCUAACUACGUGCCAGCAGCCGCGGUAAUACGUAGGGGGCAAGCGUUAUCCGGAUUUACUGGGUGUAAAGGGAGCGUAGACGGCUGUGCAAGUCAGAAGUGAAAGCCCGGGGCUCAACCGCGGGACUGCUUUUGAAACUGUGUAGCUAGAGUGCAGGAGAGGUAAGUGGAAUUCCUAGUGUAGCGGUGAAAUGCGUAGAUAUUAGGAGGAACACCGGUGGCGAAGGCGGCUUACUGGACUGUAACUGACGUUGAGGCUCGAAAGCGUGGGGAGCAAACAGG